GAUCCUGGCUCAGAUUGAACGCUGGCGGAAUGCUUUACACAUGCAAGUCGAACGGUAGAGGGGGCAACCCCUCGAGAGUGGCGAACGGGUGAGUAAUAUAUCGGAACGUGCCCAGUCGUGGGGGAUAACGUAGCGAAAGUUACGCUAAUACCGCAUACGAUCUACGGAUGAAAGCGGGGGAUCGCAAGACCUCGCGCGAUUGGAGCGGCCGAUAUCAGAUUAGGUAGUUGGUGGGGUAAAGGCUCACCAAGCCAACGAUCUGUAGCUGGUCUGAGAGGACGACCAGCCACACUGGAACUGAGACACGGUCCAGACUCCUACGGGAGGCAGCAGUGGGGAAUUUUGGACAAUGGACGCAAGUCUGAUCCAGCCAUUCCGCGUGCAGGAUGAAGGCCCUCGGGUUGUAAACUGCUUUUGUACGGAACGAAAAGGUUUCCAUUAAUACUAGGAGCUCAUGACGGUACCGUAAGAAUAAGCACCGGCUAACUACGUG
RNAcentral lists this ribosomal RNA (493 nucleotides) under uncultured bacterium. Its description in RNAcentral is "bacterial SSU rRNA". It matches the Rfam family "Bacterial small subunit ribosomal RNA", at positions 15 to 507 of the family's 1533-position model. The record is from RNAcentral.